RNAcentral lists this ribosomal RNA (473 nucleotides) under uncultured bacterium. RNAcentral describes it as "bacterial SSU rRNA". It matches the Rfam family "Bacterial small subunit ribosomal RNA", at positions 355 to 825 of the family's 1533-position model. The record is from RNAcentral.
UAGGGAAUUUUGGGCAAUGGGCGAAAGCCUGACCCAGCAACGCCGCGUGUGGGAUGAAGGCCCUCGGGUCGUAAACCACUGUCAGGAGGAAAGAAAAGUCGGCCGGAUAAUACUCGGUCGACCUGACGGUACCUCCAAAGGAAGCACCGGCUAACUCCGUGCCAGCAGCCGCGGUAAUACGGAGGGUGCAAGCGUUGUUCGGAAUUACUGGGCGUAAAGCGCGUGUAGGUGGUCGAGUAAGUCGAAUGUGAAAGCCCCGGGCUCAACCCGGGAAGUGCAUCCGAAACUGCUCGACUAGAGUCCCGGAGAGGAAGGCAGAAUUCCCAAUGUAGGGGUGAAAUCCGUAGAUAUUGGGAGGAAUACCGGUGGCGAAGGCGGCCCACUGGGUCACAUCUGACGCUGAGGUGCGAAAGCUAGGGGAUCAAACGGGAUUAGAUACCCAAGUAGUCCCUGAGCGGGCUGGCAAGGCGCAU